Molecule: long non-coding RNA, 497 nt
Filed under: Vigna radiata
Lineage: Eukaryota; Viridiplantae; Streptophyta; Magnoliopsida; Fabales; Fabaceae
Description: long non-coding RNA (VRAD_LNC010800)
Source: RNAcentral
UUUGGCAUUGUAAUUUAUUUUUAAAAAAAUAUAUAAUGAUGACGUGUAAAUGAAUAUAAUUAGGGUUGGAUUAAAGAAUGAGUUAGGGGUAAUUUUUGGUCAGAUACAAAUUUGGGUAAAAUCUACGUAAAAUCUACGAAUUGGAAAUUUAUGGGCAAUUGUAAUUAGGGUUCAUCAAACACCUUCAAACAUCAUGAACACCAAACACGACAAAUAAAAUCUGCGAAUUGAAAAUUUCUGGGCAAUUGCAAUUAGGGUUCAUCACAGUCCGUUCCUGCAUCAAGUCAAAAACUAGUUGAGCCUGUGCCUUCUACUCAUCCUGUGAUCUCGAUACAUGUAUUCUACAGAUUUUUAAAGCUGCAAUGUCGCACCCAUCGCUAGUAGUGUAAUACCAAUCAAAUCAACAGAAAAUAAUAAAACAAAAAAAAUGAAUUGGUCAAUUUAGCUCUCUUCAACGAGAUAAUGUAGGUUGAAGAAUAAUCAGAACGUGCCCAAUA